UCGCCUAUAAUUCCUCUCUUCUACUGUUUUUAUUUUAUAAAUAGAGAAGAGCAAGUUUGCUUUAAAAAUUAUGUAUGGAAUUUCAAAGUGGGAUUUCAACGGCUGGGCCUGGUCCGGUCUGGUCAGAAGUAAGGUUGUAAACGAAUCAAAUCAAUCCGGAUUCUAGUUAGAAGUAAUGUUGUAAUCGAUCCGGAUCCGGAUUCUAGGUUGUUCAAAUUUGAUUCGAGACAAAAAUGUCUUACUCGUAUAGAUUUGAUUCGAGACAAAAAUGUCUUACUCGUAUUCGAUUCGAAUUCGAAAUAAAAUUUAAAUAAUAUACUCGUAUUCGACUCGAUACAAAAAAUAAUACUUGAAGUUCGACUCGACUCGAAAUUAUAUUCGAACUACUUGUUUUGAAUCGAACUCGAGUAAAAACGAGCUUAUAUAAUAUUAUUGAUUCCAAAUUUAUAAUUUAUUUACCCAAUCCCUAAAACGGACUAUGUAAUGUACUUUAUCUGCUGGGUUACGGGCGGGCAUUUUACCAGAGGUUUCUAAUCUACCCCUGUGUGAUUCCUGUUGAAGCAUAUACUCGGGGGGUGGGUUGGGUGCAG
Molecule: long non-coding RNA, 590 nt
Filed under: Panax ginseng (ginseng)
Lineage: Eukaryota; Viridiplantae; Streptophyta; Magnoliopsida; Apiales; Araliaceae
Description: long non-coding RNA (PGIN_LNC014056)
Source: RNAcentral